UAGGCUCGGCUUAACAACAAUAAACUAAAAGUUUGACCUCAAAUCAGGUAGGACUACCCGCUGAACUUAAGCAUAUCAAUAAGCGGAGGAAAAGAAACCAACAGGGAUUGCCUCAGUAACGGCGAGUGAAGCGGCAAAAGCUCAAAUUUGAAAUCUAGCACCUUCGGUGUUCGAGUUGUAAUUUGAAGAUGGUAACCUUGGGUUUGGCUCUUGUCUAUGUUCCUUGGAACAGGACGUCAUAGAGGGUGAGAAUCCCGUCUGAUGAGAUGCCCAUUCCUAUGUAAGGUGCUAUCGAAGAGUCGAGUUGUUUGGGAAUGCAGCUCUAAGUGGGUGGUAAAUUCCAUCUAAAGCUAAAUAUUGGCGAGAGACCGAUAGCGAACAAGUACAGUGAUGGAAAGAUGAAAAGAACUUUGAAAAGAGAGUGAAAAAGUACGUGAAAUUGUUGAAAGGGAAGGGCAUUAGAUCAGACUUGGUGUUUUACGAUUAUCUUCUCUUCUUGAGUUGUGCACUCGUAUUUCACUGGGCCAGCAUCGAUUCGGAUGGCAAGAUAAUGGCAGUUGAAUGUGGCUUCACUUCGGUGGAGUGUUAUAGCUUCUGCUGAUAUUGCCUGUCUGGAUCGAGGGCUGCGUCUUUUGACUAGGAUGCUGGCGUAAUGAUCUAAUGCCGCCCGUCUUGAAACACGGACCAAGGAGUCUAACGUCUAUGCGAG
RNAcentral lists this ribosomal RNA (709 nucleotides) under Hansenula anomala. RNAcentral describes it as "LSU rRNA". It matches the Rfam family "Eukaryotic large subunit ribosomal RNA", at positions 1 to 690 of the family's 3401-position model. The record is from RNAcentral. Lineage: Eukaryota; Fungi; Ascomycota; Saccharomycetes; Phaffomycetales; Wickerhamomycetaceae.